GACGAACGCUGGCGGCGUGCUUAACACAUGCAAGUCGAGCGGUAAGGCCCUUUUGGGGGUACACGAGCGGCGAACGGGUGAGUAACACGUGGGUGACCUGCCUUCAGCUUCGGGAUAAGCUUGGGAAACUGGGUCUAAUACCGGAUAUGACUUGGCCUCGCAUGGGGUUGGGUGGAAAGUUUUUUCGCUGGAGAUGGGCCCGCGGCCUAUCAGCUUGUUGGUGGGGUGAUGGCCUACCAAGGCGACGACGGGUAGCCGGCCUCAGAGGCGACCGGCCACACUGGGGCUGAGAUACGGCCCAGACUCCUACGGGAGGCAGCAGUGGGGAAUCUUGCGCAAUGGGCGGAAGCCUGACGCAGCGACGCCGCGUGGGGAUGAC
RNAcentral lists this ribosomal RNA (379 nucleotides) under uncultured bacterium. RNAcentral's name for it is "bacterial SSU rRNA". It matches the Rfam family "Bacterial small subunit ribosomal RNA", at positions 28 to 412 of the family's 1533-position model. The record is from RNAcentral.